CUGUAAUUACUCUAAAGCUAAUACAUGCUUUGAUGCCCUGACUCUGCUGUUUGCUUGCUUGCCCGCUGCUGUCUAGUAGUGGUGGCAGUAGGCAGUAGGGGAUGGGUGCACUUAUUAGAUCAGAAGCCAACCAAUUGUUCGCAGCACGUGCGCCUGCAUUUGUUGCAUGCGUGUGUGCGGGUGGGCGUUGAGAGGAGACCGCUUCUGGUGACUCUGGAUAAUUGUUACAGAUCGCAGUCGGCCUUGAGUCGGCGACGGGUCCUUCAAAUGUCUGCCCUAUCAACUGUCGAUGGUAGGUGACCUGCCUACCAUGGUGAUAACGGGUAACGGGGAAUCAGGGUUCGAUUCCGGAGAGGGAGCCUGAGAAACGGCUACCACUUCCAAGGGAGGCAGCAGGCGCGCAAAUUACCCACUCCCGGCACGGGGAGGUGGUGACGAAAAAUACCGAUGCGGGACUCCUUUAAGAGGCUCCGUAAUCGGAAUGAGUGGACUCUAAAUCCUUUCACGAGGAUCUAUUGGAGGGCAAGUCUGGUGCCAGCAGCCGCGGUAACUCCAGCUCCAAUAGCGUAUAUUAAAGUUGCUGCAGUUAAAAAGCUCGUAGUUGGAUCUCGGUAGCAUUGUUGCCUGUUGGUAAUUGAGCGGUCGGUGUGUGGUCAAUGAUGCACGGUCUGGCUGGCACAUUGUCUGCGUGUGUGUGUGUGUGCGUAGUGGAUGCGGCGACGAGUCGGCCAAAUGGUUGGCAGGUUAGUGGGUUGGUUGGUUGACUGACUGACUGACCGACGGACUUGCUCGCUAGGUGG
RNAcentral lists this ribosomal RNA (800 nucleotides) under Taenia hydatigena. RNAcentral describes it as "bacterial SSU rRNA". It matches the Rfam family "Eukaryotic small subunit ribosomal RNA", at positions 147 to 746 of the family's 1831-position model. The record is from RNAcentral. Lineage: Eukaryota; Metazoa; Platyhelminthes; Cestoda; Cyclophyllidea; Taeniidae.